CCUACGGGUGGCAGCAGUGAGGAAUAUUGGUCAAUGGGCGUAAGCCUGAACCAGCCAAGUCGCGUGAGGGAUGAAGGUUCUAUGGAUCGUAAACCUCUUUUAUAAGGGAAUAAAGUGUGGGACGUGUCCGAUUUUGUAUGUACCUUAUGAAUAAGGAUCGGCUAACUCCGUGCCAGCAGCCGCGGUAAUACGGAGGAUCCGAGCGUUAUCCGGAUUUAUUGGGUUUAAAGGGUGCGUAGGCGGCCUUUUAAGUCAGUGGUGAAAGUAUGUGGCUCAACCAUAGAAUUGCCGUUGAAACUGGGGGGCUUGAGUAUAUUUGAGGUAGGCGGAAUGCGUGGUGUAGCGGUGAAAUGCUUAGAUAUCACGCAGAACCCCGAUUGCGAAGGCAGCCUGCCGAGCCAUGACUGACGCUGAGGCACGAAAGCGUGGGGAUCAAACAGGAUUAGAUACCCCAGUAGUC
This 460-nucleotide ribosomal RNA is filed under the name uncultured bacterium. Its description in RNAcentral is "partial 16S ribosomal RNA". It matches the Rfam family "Bacterial small subunit ribosomal RNA", at positions 338 to 795 of the family's 1533-position model. The record is from RNAcentral.